GUGGGGAAUAUUCCGCAAUGGACGAAAGUCUGACGGAGCAACGCCGCGUGAGUGAUGAAGGUUUUCGGACUGUAAAGCUCUGUUGUUUAGGACGAAAGUGCCUGUUGCGAACAGUUACAGGUAUUGACGGUACUAAACGAGGAAGCCACGGCUAACUACGUGCCAGCAGCCGCGGUAAUACGUAGGUGGCAAGCGUUGUCCGGAAUUAUUGGGCGUAAAGAGCAUGUAGGCGGAGAUUUAAGUCUGUUGUGAAAAUGCGGGGCUCAACCCCGUAUUGGGAUGGAAACUGAAUUUCUUGAGUGCAGGAGAGGAAAGGGGAAUUCCCAGUGUAGCGGUGAAAUGCGUAGAUAUUGGGAGGAACACCAGUGGCGAAGGCGCCUUUCUGGACUGUGUCUGACGCUGAGAUGCGAAAGCCAGGGUAGCGAACGGGAUUAGAAACCCCAGUAGUCC
This 450-nucleotide ribosomal RNA is filed under the name uncultured bacterium. RNAcentral's name for it is "partial 16S ribosomal RNA". It matches the Rfam family "Bacterial small subunit ribosomal RNA", at positions 354 to 796 of the family's 1533-position model. The record is from RNAcentral.